Molecule: ribosomal RNA, 460 nt
Filed under: uncultured Bacteroidota bacterium
Lineage: Bacteria; Pseudomonadati; Bacteroidota
Description: bacterial SSU rRNA
Rfam family: Bacterial small subunit ribosomal RNA
Source: RNAcentral
CCUACGGGGGGCUGCAGUAAGGAAUAUUGGACAAUGGGCGAGAGCCUGAUCCAGCCAUGCCGCGUGCAGGAAGAAGGCCCUAUGGGUCGUAAACUGCUUUUGAACGAGAGAAAACCCGAGUACGUGUACUCGGCUGAUAGUAUCGUUAGAAUAAGCAUCGGCUAACUUCGUGCCAGCAGCCGCGGUAAGACGAAGGAUGCAAGCGUUAUCCGGAUUCAUUGGGUUUAAAGGGAGCGUAGGCGGACUUGUAAGUCAGUGGUGAAAUCUGUGGGCUUAACCCACAAACUGCCAUUGAUACUGCAGGUCUAGAGUACAGUUGCCGUUGGCGGAAUAUGACAUGUAGUGGUGAAAUACUUAGAUAUGUCAUAGAACACCGAUUGCGAAGGCAGCUAACGAAGCUGUAACUGACGCUGAGGCUCGAAAGUGUGGGGAUCAAACAGGAUUAGAUACCCCGGUAGUC